Molecule: non-coding RNA, 612 nt
Organism: Cherax quadricarinatus
Lineage: Eukaryota; Metazoa; Arthropoda; Malacostraca; Decapoda; Parastacidae
Source: RefSeq, a predicted model, not a curated record
UGCUUCAGCGGAUGAUGGGUCAGCUCAUAUGACUGGCUCACUAACGCACACUUAAUGGGUCAGCGUGUGUUUUGGAUACAAUACCUCAAAGCUUACUUCAGUGGUAUCCGUGACACACUAAUAUACGCUUGUUUCACUGAACAAUUAGACAGUGUAUGAUGGACUCACUAGCACACUAGGUCAACGUGUGUUGGACUUAAUGACAUACACUUACUUUAGCUGUCAUUAAGAAUCAAGGACGCCCCGGCUCAUGGAGAAAGAAUACAUCGAAGAUACUCUAGGAGGUGGGUAAAAGAUUCAGUGCUGUUGUAUCAUGGGUACGCUUCCCAGCACUGAGUUACUUGCAGAGGGAGCGCCUUCGAAGGAGAAUCCCUCCAAUAGAGCAAGAGAUAUACGUCGAAUAGAGCACAAUCCUCUACUGCCGUAUAUACUCUUUCAAAAGAAAGGGGCUAAACCCUUGAGAGUAAUACAGCACAUAUGGAGCUUCUGAUGGUAAGAUUUGCUGUAGAUUCAAGAAGCAACUUGUCUUGAGAGUUCUUUUUAGGUGAAAAUUAACAAAUUAUUUAAUUCCAGACUAUUAUAAGGACAUAGGUAAAUGUAAUUCGUUGAUGU